AUCAGCACCAGCUCUAACAUACAGAAUUACUCAGGGAUAUUCCUCCCAGUAUUCUUUCACCUUUCCAUGACUACUGCUGUUGAAAUUGGCUUGCCAUGAACCUGCUCAUUCUUCGUUAAUUCAUUUACUAAGCAGCGACUGCAUGCAUACAAUAAGAAUACAAAGGGAGACUGUGGACUUCCAGUGGGCAAAAAGACUGGUUCAUCUUUGACUCCCUGGUGAUUACUUCAGAGACCAGAUCCAGAUUUGAACAGCAGGGCGGCAUCGGUCCACAGGCGUGUGCCGGCUACCUGGGCAUGAGUGCGCUCUCGCCCUGCGUCACAGACCUGUCCCAGUACUACAUCAAAACCCUACUUUUCCUGAGAGUGGCGGAAUAGCUGAAAGGGAAAUUCAUUCAACUGAACAACAUCGUCUAAUCCUUCUUUCAUUCCCAUUCAAUAAAAAUCAUUUAAAAAAUCAAUGGUAAAACGGAUUUGUCCUUGAAAGAACAUAAAGGCUGAGAUAAGGGCUGCUCCUCUGGACCUCAACAAUGCCACCAUCGUUUUCCGUGUUACUGCAGCGUUCUCAAUGUGUCUGUCUGCCCGCUGGCAUACGGACCCUUCUCUUCCCCUUCGUUUCCCCAGCACCGAACAGAGGGUAAAGUUCUGAAGUGCUUGGUGAAGCAAUGCGUGAUGAAGAAAACAGUGCUUUCUGGAAUGGCACGUUCACUGUGAGAACACUCUGUCAUCAGGCUGCACCCCUGAAAAGCCAGGCUGCCCUGGGGGCCAUCUCAGAUGCAUCCCUGCCACGGUGGCUCAUAUCCACAGCCCUGAAUUUACAUAGCCGAUGGCCAGCAAUAUCAACGGCCAUGCAUUUUGGGAUUACAGUUGCUGCAGAAAAUUGUGUUCAUAACAUAACAUAUAGAG
Molecule: long non-coding RNA, 905 nt
Filed under: Homo sapiens (human)
Lineage: Eukaryota; Metazoa; Chordata; Mammalia; Primates; Hominidae
Description: HSALNT0099811
Source: RNAcentral